CGGGAAACUKRAGGAAUAUCCUWUAGAAACGAUGCUGAUGCCGGUAUCCCAAGCUCGGCGCUUAGGAUGGAUCUGCGGCGAUUAGGUCGUUGUUGGGGUAACGGCCAACAAGCCGAWAAUCGGUACGGGUUGUGGGAGGCAAGAGCCCGRAGUUGGAUUCUGAGACACGAAUCCAGGCCCUACGGGGCGCAGCAGGCGCGAAAACUUUACAAUGCGGGCAACCGUGAUAAGGGAACCUCGAGUGCCUGUACAUGCAGGCUGUCUGGGUGUCUAAAACACACCCAAAGAAAGGGCCGGGCAAGACCGGUGCCAGCCGCCGCGGUAAUACCGGCGGCUCGAGUGGUGGCCACUUUUAUUGGGCUUAAAGCGUUCGUAGCUGGGUUGUUAAGUCUCUUGGGAAAUCUGGCAGCUUAACUGUCAGGCGUCUAAGAGAUACUGGCAAUCUAGGAACCGGGAGAGGWGAGGGGUACUUCGGGGGUAGGAGUGAAAAAACUGUAAUCMWCGAGGGACCACCUGUGGCGAAGGCGCCUCACCAGAACGGCUUCGACAGUGAGGGACGAAAGCUGGGGGAGCAAACCGGAUUAGAUACCCGGGUAGUCCCAGCCGUAAACGAUGCGCGUUAGGUGUGUCGAUGACCACGAGUCAUCGAGGUGCMGAAGGGAAACCGUGAAACGCGCCGCCUGGGAAGUACGGUCGCAAGGCUGAAACUUAAAGGAAUUGGCGGGGGAG
Molecule: ribosomal RNA, 729 nt
Filed under: uncultured Methanoculleus sp.
Lineage: Archaea; Methanobacteriati; Methanobacteriota; Methanomicrobia; Methanomicrobiales; Methanomicrobiaceae
Description: bacterial SSU rRNA
Rfam family: Archaeal small subunit ribosomal RNA
Source: RNAcentral